UGCACACGGGUCGUCCGGAUCUGCCGCUGCAUGCCUGGAUUUCCAAAGAUAAGUUCUUUUUUUUUACUGUCAGCUUAGAUUGUCAUCGUUUCUACCUUUUGAUUGUGGAUUAUUUUUUAUUUUUUUAGUGUGUUAGGUCAGGUUUUGGGGGAUUCAUCAGAGAUAUUAAUUUCCCUUAUUUGUUUUGUUUUCUCUCAUUUUAGACAUUCAUCUCUCUUUCUGUCUGUUUAUUCUCUGUUUUAAGGUCGGUUGCUUUUUUUUUUUAUUGGGUUUUUUUUGUGUGGCUUUUUAUUUGUUUUUCCAGGUUAUAGAUCUGAUGGUUUUUUGUAUACCAAUCUUGGUUUUGUUUUUCCUAGAAAAUUGUUUUUAUCUGAUUGUGGGUUCGUGGGUUUUAAUUUCUUUCAUUCGUUUCAGGUUGCAAAGCAGGAGGUUUUGACUUGAAGGUUCAGCUCAAGGUUUGAGGCGGUGCGAGAAGAGGCCAGACAUCAAACAUGGAAGCUUCACUAAAGAGGAAGACAACAUUAUCUGCAACCUCUACAACCAGAUAGGAAGCCGGCAAGUAAACAAAUUUAAAUGGUUAUUUUUUUUUUAAUUUUUUAAUUUAUAAUCUGCAACAUUUAAUUCCUUUACAUGAUUUUGUCUAGAAUUCGUUUAAAGAUUUAAAAUUUCUCUCCACUCUGUUAAUGGGUUUGAUUUUUCCCCAUCUGUUUUGCAGUUUGAGUCUACUGAGUUUUGCGGAUUCACUCAAUUGCAAUCAUCUCUUCUGCAAUUAAUCUCUACCUUCAUUGUUAGAUGUAUUAAUACUUGGAAUGUGGUUGAUCAUAUUGCCAUCUGUUUUGCAGUUGGAUGUAUUAAUACUUGGAAUGUGUGUGAUCAUAUUGCCAGUGUUUGCUUAUUUUUUUACAGCACUUACACUGUGAAGUCAAUGAAAUCGGGUUCCUUUUGUCUAGUUUAUAAAAUUUCAUAUCGGCGCAGAAGUAUGAAUCAUGAUAAUUUUAUGUUUGUGCUGAACUGUUAGAGGCUACAAUUGUUUUUAUGUGAAAUCAUUUACUUUCAUCAUAAUGAGUUUACUUCUAGGACAGUGCAACCUUUAAAGGGAAAGGAUACAUUCAGACCAAAAAAAAAAAAAAAUGGGAAGGGAUACAUCCAUUCUUUUGUUUAAGAUCAAAACUAUUUAUUAGUCAUAUUUAUAAGCAAGUGUUUAUAUUAGGAGGUGGUAUGUUGACUAAGCUUUUCAGUUAAAAGGUGGAGGUGUCUUUGAGGUUUAAUACAAUACAUAGGUGGAUUCUUUAAUAUUAGAUUAGAUUUUCAAAAUUUUUAGUACGUUAGGUCCGAUUUUGGGGGAUUCAUCUCUCUCAUUAUUCCUUUAUUUGUUUUAUUUUCUCUUAUUUUGGGUAUUCACUCUCUGUUCUGUCUGUUUGUUCUUUGUUUUAAGAUCAGUUGCUUUUUUUUUUUGGGUUUUUUUUUGUGGGUUUUCAGUUCAUUAAUUUGUUUAGUUGUUGUUAAUUUUACAGUUUAAUUGUUUCCCCUAAUCUGGAUUGUUAGGUUUUGAACCCUUUUUUUCCCAAAAUCCACAUGAACUGAGCUUUAGUGCUUAAAGGAGACCUAUGUUUAAUUCUGUGCCGGAGUUUAUAAUGUAUUUAGAUUGGGAACACAAUCUUCGUUGAAUUGUAAGUUUUUAUCCACUUUUGCAUUUUUCCCCUUCAAUGGUUUCAAUUAAUUGUUGUUAGUAUAACUAUUGCUCUCUAAGCUGUGAAAUUAGGUGUAAGAAAAUAUUUUUUGUACUUAUAUGGAAUUGUUGAUUUCCAUGGAAGCUAAGUAUGUGUGUAAUUGUAUUGGGGCUUUUGGAUCUGUUGGCUUUUCUGUUUUGAUCAAAAUUGUUGAUUUCUUUUGUGGAAUUGAGUUUUAGCCUCGAAUCGGAGACGUGGGUGCUUGAGAACGUUUAAUUUUUACAUGCAUUGUAAAGUGUUUGUAAUUGUAAACAUGUUUGAAUCUUAUACUUUCUAUUUUUUUUUUCUUUUUUUGUUUGCAUUUUUUAGGCAAGCAAAAUGAUGUAAACUGGCGAUUUAUGGUGGCUUUGAAAGGGUGACUUGCUCUUACAAAGUUCUGGAAGAUAAACUACUUUGGAGCCAGUAGCACUCAGUUGCCAGAACAGCGGCCUUUCUCUCCCUUAUCGGAAAAUGGGUGCUUUCAAGUGCUGGAAAAUUGGAAAGCUCUGGAAACAAUAUAGUUUUUGAGCUAAUGUGAAGAUUUUGGGUUGAAUACUUUGAUUCUGUUUUUCUAUUUGCACUUAGAAAAACAGAGGAUUGUGGUUAAUUAUUGUGAUGUGAAGAUUAUUCAUGGUUUGAAAACCCGCAGCAAAGCGCGGGCAUUCUUGCUAAUUCUAUUCCUAAAGCACAAUCUCACCCAAUCCGCCUAAUGGGUUGUAGAAGUUCGUCAUUCUACCCAAUCUUUAAAUUUUGUUUUUUAUUUUAAGUUCUAUUGUGGGGGCCCAACAGCUGUAUGUUUAAUAGAUUUGUCAUUUGUGUGAAUAAAUAAACAAUGUUUUUUAGUAA
Pyrus x bretschneideri (Chinese white pear) is the source of this 2555-nucleotide long non-coding RNA. RefSeq lists it as uncharacterized. The transcript is spliced from 3 exons. The record is from RefSeq and is a predicted model, not a curated record. NCBI's taxonomy places the organism in Eukaryota, Viridiplantae, Streptophyta, Magnoliopsida, Rosales, Rosaceae.